AUGGAGAGUUUGAUCCUGGCUCAGGAUGAACGCUGGCGGCAUGCCUAAUACAUGCAAGUCGAACGAGGCAUCUUCGGAUGCCUAGUGGCGAACGGGUGAGUAACACGUAGGGAACCUGCCCAUGCGGCCGGGACAACUUCCGGAAACGGAUGCUGAUACCGGAUAAGGAAAGCGAAGGCAUCUUUGCUUUGUUAAAGGAGCUGCAAGGCUCCGCGCAUGGAUGGACCUGCGGUGCAUUAGCUGGUUGGUGAGGUAAAGGCUCACCAAGGCGACGAUGCAUAGCCGGCCUGAGAGGGCGAACGGCCACACUGGGACUGAGACACGGCCCAGACUCCUACGGGAGGCAGCAGUAGGGAAUUUUCGUCAAUGGGCGCAAGCCUGAACGAGCAAUGCCGCGUGAACGAGGAAGGUCUUCGGAUCGUAAAGUUCUGUUGAGAGGGAAAAAGGGUCACCAGAGGAAAUGCUGGUGAAGUGAUAUUACCUUUCGAGGAAGUCACGGCUAACUACGUGCCAGCAGCCGCGGUAAUACGUAGGUGGCGAGCGUUAUCCGGAAUGAUUGGGCGUAAAGGGUGCGUAGGCGGCCUGUUAAGUCUGAAGUGAAAGGUACCGGCUCAACCGGUACAGGCUUUGGAAACUGGCAGGCUGGAGGACAGGAGAGGGCGGUGGAACUCCAUGUGUAGCGGUAAAAUGCGUAGAUAUAUGGAAGAACACCAGUGGCGAAGGCGGCCGCCUGGCCUGUUACUGACGCUGAGGCACGAAAGCGUGGGGAGCAAAUAGGAUUAGAUACCCUAGUAGUCCACGCCGUAAACGAUGAGGACCAAGUGUUGGGGAAGACCCAGUGCUGCAGUUAACGCAGUGAGUCCUCCGCCUGGGGAGUAUGCACGCAAGUGUGAAACUCAAAGGAAUUGACGGGGGCCCGCACAAGCGGUGGAGUAUGUGGUUUAAUUCGAAGCAACGCGAAGAACCUUACCAGGCCUUGACAUAGGGUGCGAAGCUAUGGAGACAUAGUGGAGGCUAACAUCCAUACAGGUGGUGCAUGGUUGUCGUCAGCUCGUGUCGUGAGAUGUUCAGUUAAGUCUGGCAACGAGCGCAACCCUCGUGAUGUGUUACCAAUAUUGAGUUAGGGACUCACAUCAGACUGCCGGUGACAAACCGGAGGAAGGCGGGGAUGACGUCAAAUCAUCAUGCCCCUUAUGGCCUGGGCUACACACGUACUACAAUGGCGGCAACAAAGGGCAGCGAGGCAGCGAUGCCGAGCGAAUCCCAAAAAAGCCGUCCCAGUUCGGAUUGGAGUCUGCAACCCGACUCCAUGAAGUUGGAAUCGCUAGUAAUCGCGGAUCAGCAUGCCGCGGUGAAUACGUUCUCGGGCCUUGUACACACCGCCCGUCAAACCAUGGGAGUGGGCAAUGCCCGAAGCCGGUGGCGCAACCUGAAAAGGAGCGAGCCGUCGAAGGCAGGGCCGAUGACUGGGGUUAAGUCGUAACAAGGUAUCCCUACGGGAACGUGGGGAUGGAUCACCUCCUUU
RNAcentral lists this ribosomal RNA (1525 nucleotides) under Erysipelotrichaceae bacterium OPF54. RNAcentral's name for it is "bacterial SSU rRNA". It matches the Rfam family "Bacterial small subunit ribosomal RNA". Lineage: Bacteria; Bacillati; Bacillota; Erysipelotrichia; Erysipelotrichales; Erysipelotrichaceae. The record is from RNAcentral.